AGUGAACGCUGGCGGCAGGCCUAACACAUGCAAGUCGAACGGCAGCACAGUAAGAGCUUGCUCUUACGGGCGGCGAGUGGCGGACGGGUGAGGAAUACACCGGAAUCUACUUUGUCGUGGGGGAUAACGUAGGGAAACUUACGCUAAUACCGCAUACGACCUACGGGUGAAAGCAGGGGAUCUUCAGAGCUUGCGCGAUUGGAGGAGCCGAUGUCGGAUUAGCUAGUGGGCAGGGUAAAGGCCUACCAAGGCGACGAUCCGUAGCUGGUCAGAGAGGAUGGUCAGCGACACUGGGGGGGGGACGCGGCCCAGAAUCGGACGGGAGGGGGGAGAGGGGAAUAUUGGAAGAUGGGCGAAAGGCUGAUGCAGCAAGGCCGGGUGAGUGAUGAAGGCCGGAGGGUUGUAAAGCUCUUUUACCCGGGAUGAUAAUGACGGUACCGGGAGAAUAAGCACCGGCUAACUACGUG
This 467-nucleotide ribosomal RNA is filed under the name uncultured bacterium. RNAcentral's name for it is "partial 16S ribosomal RNA". It matches the Rfam family "Bacterial small subunit ribosomal RNA", at positions 30 to 507 of the family's 1533-position model. The record is from RNAcentral.